UGAAAGAUCACCACAUUAUCUUAUGCAAAAGCUAGUGAGAGGAGGGCAAUUUCCCAGGCCGAAAGAUGGAGAACUUUAAACUUCAGUAUUUUUAUGUCAACAGAAUUUAAGGACACCACUUUUCUUGGACAGCUCAUUCCACUGGCAUUCCAGAGGGGACUUCACUGGCUAGACUUUGAUGGGAGUAGCUAUGACAGAAAGUUACCAAGAUAAAACAGCAUCUUUAAUGCAAAAGCACAUGAAAAACAGUUUAAGAAGCAACGCAGAAGAACACUACGGAGAAAACAAAGCUCAACAUGAAGGUAUUUUGUAUCCAAUAAAGGAGGGAUUUGGGAAAUCUUA
This is a long non-coding RNA of Numida meleagris (helmeted guineafowl), 342 nucleotides long. RefSeq lists it as uncharacterized. Lineage: Eukaryota; Metazoa; Chordata; Aves; Galliformes; Numididae. The transcript has 2 exons. The record is from RefSeq and is a predicted model, not a curated record.